Molecule: ribosomal RNA, 253 nt
Filed under: uncultured bacterium
Lineage: Bacteria
Description: partial 16S ribosomal RNA
Rfam family: Bacterial small subunit ribosomal RNA
Source: RNAcentral
UACGGAGGGUGCGAGCGUUGUCCGGAAUCACUGGGCGUAAAGGGCGCGUAGGCGGCCUGAUAAGUAGGGGGUGAAAUCCUGCGGCUUAACCGCAGGGCUGCCUUCUAAACUGUCAGGCUGGAGCACAGUAGAGGCAGGUGGAAUUCCCGGUGUAGCGGUGGAAUGCGUAGAGAUCGGGAAGAACAUCAGUGGCGAAGGCGGCCUGCUGGGCUGUUGCUGACGCUGAGACGCGAAAGCGUGGGGAGCGAACAGG